RNAcentral lists this ribosomal RNA (433 nucleotides) under uncultured bacterium. Its description in RNAcentral is "partial 16S ribosomal RNA". It matches the Rfam family "Bacterial small subunit ribosomal RNA", at positions 29 to 507 of the family's 1533-position model. The record is from RNAcentral.
AGCGAACGCUGGCGGCAGGCCUAACACAUGCAAGUCGAACGAACUCUUCGGAGUUAGUGGCGGACGGGUGAGUAACACGUGGGAACGUGCCUUUUGGUUCGGAAUAACUCAGGGAAACUUGUGCUAAUACCGAAUGUGCCCUUCGGGGGAAAGAUUUAUCGCCAUUAGAGCGGCCCGCGUCUGAUUAGCUAGUUGGUGAGGUAACGGCUCACCAAGGCGACGAUCAGUAGCUGGUCUGAGAGGAUGACCAGCCACACUGGGACUGAGACACGGCCCAGACUCCUACGGGAGGCAGCAGUGGGGAAUCAUGCGCAAUGGGCGAAAGCCUGACGCAGCCAUGCCGCGUGAAUGAUGAAGGUCUUAGGAUUGUAAAAUUCUUUCACCGGGGACGAUAAUGACGGUACCCGGAGAAGAAGCCCCGGCUAACUUCGUG